UCGCCAUCCAAUGGCCAAUGGCCAAUGGCCUUCAUUUAUCUUCCUCAGCCGCAGCUGCUGCCGCUUCUUCCUCAGCUUGUUAAGCAUAAUUAAAAUCGCAGAGCGGGAUGGCGAGAGGCGCGAAAGGGACGGAGCUAGUGACUCUUCUUUCGGGCCAAAUUGAAUUUUUCGUUGCACCCGACAGCGAUAUUAGGAUUCGCUGCAGAGGACUCAAAAGUGCUUUUUCGAACGGAAGCCUCCGCACAUCUCGACUUUAAUGAGUGAAUGAGGGUUGCUUUUGCUUUUGAGUUUGCGUUAUGCAAAUGCUUUAGCCC
This is a long non-coding RNA of Drosophila teissieri, 314 nucleotides long. RefSeq lists it as uncharacterized. The record is from RefSeq and is a predicted model, not a curated record. Lineage: Eukaryota; Metazoa; Arthropoda; Insecta; Diptera; Drosophilidae. The transcript has 3 exons.